CGUCAGAAUUCAUUAUUCCUUAUGACCAAUACAUGGAGGCCACGAACAGUAUGGAGGCCAUGAACAGUAAUUUCUCAGUUGGCAUGAGAUUCAGGAUGAGAAUUGAGGGAGAAGCAGCCCCGGAGCAACGGUCUUCAUAUUCAUCACUUUUAACUUUAAAAUGGAUGGAUUAUGAUUUAAUAGAUAGCAAAGCAUUCAAUAAUCGUUCUAUGUUGGAUUAGGAUACAGUGAAUUUUGAAAUAUGCCCAGCGCUAUUUACUGGUACUAUCAUUGAAAUAGGUGAUUCUGAUCCCCUGAGGUGGCCGGGUUCAAAGUGGAGAUGCCUCAAGGUACAAUGGGACGCAACAUCAGCUGUUCCACG
Molecule: RNA transcript, 361 nt
Organism: Cryptomeria japonica (Japanese cedar)
Lineage: Eukaryota; Viridiplantae; Streptophyta; Pinopsida; Cupressales; Cupressaceae
Exons: 3
Source: RefSeq, a predicted model, not a curated record